UAAAAAGCGUGGUAGACAACAGGGAUGCCCCAGUAACGGCGAGUGAAGCGGCAACAGCUCAAAUUUGAAAUCUGGCGCAAGCCCGAGUUGUAAUUUGUAGAGGGUGCCUCGGGAGCGGUCCGGCCUAAGUUCCUUGGAACAGGACGUCAUAGAGGGUGAGAAUCCCGUAUGCGGCCGGGUGCCAACCCCGUGUGAGGCCCCUUCGACGAGUCGAGUUGUUUGGGAAUGCAGCUCUAAAUGGGAGGUAAAUUUCUUCUAAAGCUAAAUACCGGCCAGAGACCGAUAGCGCACAAGUAGAGUGAUCGAAAGAUGAAAAGCACUUUGGAAAGAGAGUUAAAAAGUACGUGAAAUUGUUGAAAGGGAAGCGCUUACGACCAGACUCGGCCGCGGGGGAUCACCCCCCGCGGCCGGGCCAGCAUCGGUUCGGGCGGCCGGACAAAGGCCCCGGGAACGUAGCACCCUCCGGGGUGUGUUAUAGCCCGGGGUGCAAUGCGGCCAGCCCGGACCGAGGACCGCGUUCGCUAGGAUGCUGGCGUAAUGGUCGUCAGCGGCCCGUCUUGAAACACGGACCAU
This 573-nucleotide ribosomal RNA is filed under the name Coniosporium uncinatum. RNAcentral describes it as "partial large subunit ribosomal RNA". It matches the Rfam family "Eukaryotic large subunit ribosomal RNA", at positions 44 to 669 of the family's 3401-position model. The record is from RNAcentral. Lineage: Eukaryota; Fungi; Ascomycota; Dothideomycetes.